This 410-nucleotide ribosomal RNA is filed under the name uncultured Pseudomonas sp. Its description in RNAcentral is "bacterial SSU rRNA". It matches the Rfam family "Bacterial small subunit ribosomal RNA", at positions 976 to 1382 of the family's 1533-position model. The record is from RNAcentral. Lineage: Bacteria; Pseudomonadati; Pseudomonadota; Gammaproteobacteria; Pseudomonadales; Pseudomonadaceae.
AGGCCUUGACAUGCAGAGAACUUUCCAGAGAUGGAUUGGUGCCUUCGGGAACUCUGACACAGGUGCUGCAUGGCUGUCGUCAGCUCGUGUUGUGAGAUGUUGGGUUAAGUCCCGUAACGAGCGCAACCCUUGUCCUUAGUUACCAGCACGGUUAUGGUGGGCGACUCUAAGGAGACUGCCGGUGACAAACCGGAGGAAGGUGGGGAUGACGUCAAGUCAUCAUGGCCCUUACGGCCUGGGCUACACACGUGCUACAAUGGUCGGUACAAAGGGUUGCCAAGCCGCGAGGUGGAGCUAAUCCCAUAAAACCGAUCGUAAGUCCGGAUCGCAGUCUGCAACUCGACUGCGUGAAGUCGGAAUCGCUAGUAAUCGUGAAUCAGAAUGUCACGGUGAAUACGUUCCCGGGCCUU